RNAcentral lists this long non-coding RNA (199 nucleotides) under Mustela putorius furo (domestic ferret). RNAcentral describes it as "lncRNA (ENSMPUG00000032078.1)". The record is from RNAcentral. Lineage: Eukaryota; Metazoa; Chordata; Mammalia; Carnivora; Mustelidae.
AGAGUACAUAAUGUGUAGGCUCCAUUUUCUUGAUCCUUCUAUUUUGGGUUUUUUUUUUAAAUUAUGUAGUUCAAAUUCUAUUUGAUUUACCAACUAUUCAACUUCAGGUAGAAGUUGUUGUGUUAAUGUUGAUGUCACAAUCUGAAAGAUGAUUUAGAGCAUUUAUAAUGUUUUAAACCUUCCUUCUACAACUUUUAUU